This is a long non-coding RNA of Bos taurus (domestic cattle), 1334 nucleotides long. Lineage: Eukaryota; Metazoa; Chordata; Mammalia; Artiodactyla; Bovidae. The record is from Ensembl.
GCUGGCGGAGGUCUGCCACCUGACAGCUUGUGAGCUACUUUUCAGCAGAAAGCUGAAUCCGCAAAGGUCUCCCACUGCUCCCCCCUCCACUUCCCAGAAGACCUGCCCCAUCCAGGCCCUGGCUCCACCAGGCACUGUAGUUUAUCAAAGGCCUGGAGCCCAGAAGCUUCUGGAAGGAAAGACACCUUGACCACAACUUCCCCAUCCUGAGAGUCAGUUAGGAAAACACAUCGGAAAGGACUGGGGUGGUCCCCUUCUGGGUCCACGAGCAGAAAGGGCCCAGGAGGAUGCGGCUGGAGAGCAGAAGGUGUGGGCUGGGACGGAGGCCCCAGGGCCCCGCGGCCCUAAUCCCUCUGCCCUGUGAGUCCCACCAGCGGCGGUGCACUGAGCCGUCACCUUGCGGCCAGCUACACGGGGCCAGGUCGGCGAGGGGCCUGGCCAGCACUGUGCUCGGAGCCUCGCGUGCCUGACUCUCAUUCUCAACGACAAGCCCAGACAUGCCUAGGAGGAGGUGGCCGAUCAGGACACAUGCCGGCGAGCUGUGAUGCCAGCCCGGCUCCUGCAGAAGCCAUUUCAGGGAACCUCCUCAGCGCCCUCCUUUCUCCCUGGGCCCGGACCUCGGCCUGCUUUGCACGACCUGCUCCAACCGCGGGAGCCGCGAAGAUGGACCGCAGCCUGGACCCAAGCCGGAGCCCACACCCGGGGCACAGGCGGCCCUUGGCCCACCGGACGCCACCACCACCUGCCUCCCACACACACGCAGAGUCACCGGCCUUGUGCAGAAGGGUCCCCCGACAGCCGGCGCGCCCAGGGCAGGCUCAGGGGUGCGCAGCCCUCCGGAGAGGCCGCAGGCCCAGAGUCCAGGCGCCGCUCCGUGUCCCCUGCCCUUCUCCGCAGGAAACAACCGUUGCCCGUGCUUCCGCCCUCCACGCCCUCUUCAGCUGCCCGGCAGCUGCAGCGAAGGACCGGCCCCCACAGGCCACGGGCUCGCGGAGGGCGUCCUGGGCAGGAGGCGGGACCGGGACUCCGACGCCCUGGAAAUGGCAGCCUGGAGAAGCAGCUACUUCUGCCCGGAUCCUCCCAGCACCCUGGUGACCGCCUCUCAGACCACACGGCAGGCUUGAUGGCCGAGAGCUCUCCAGCCAGCACGCACCUGACUGGUGCCCCGUCGGAGACCCGCGUGCCCCCGAGAAAAUCCAUCGUCCAACUGCAGCGACAGGCUCUCUGUGAUCAGCAGCCACAGCAAAAAGAUCCCAGGAUCCUCAUUUCCAGGGCUCUCUGCCACUGGUCCCCAGUCUCAUAAAUCCAAGAGGAACCAAAUCAUGUGCCCGAAC